CAUUGAUGGUUUGCGUGCAAAACAGCGAAAUAACUUUUUGUUAACAGUGGAAGAAGUUAAUUUUUUAAAUCGUAAGGAUUUGUCAUCUAGUUAAAAGUUAUUGGUACUGUUUUUUUUUUAAACAAUUUAUAAUUAGAUAAAUUUUGACAUGCUUAUUUUACGAUUAGUAUUAGCGUGAGACCAUAAUCGGCAGACUAACCUGAGGCCGAGGAACAGGCGUUAAAUAAGGAACGCAAAAGUUAAAUUUGGCUGUUAUUCAAACAGUUUUAUAAUAGAAAUAUUGUUUCAGUCACCACAGCAUCUUUGAUAUUCCACCUAGCCUGAUGAACCUUGUUAUUGGGCACAUUGGCACUGGAUAUAGCAGAUGAAUUGGGACAAAAGAAGAUUAACUGUUAGAUUUGAAGCAAAAUGGAUUUCAACUAUGUUUACACAAAGCAAAGGAAAGACUUUGGAAAGCAGUGUAACUUUCUUGAUACACCAGCAUACACACUAGUGGACAUCGUUCCAGAUAAACGCUUAACAGAAAAUUUCAUUUCGAUGAAAUGUGUUGACACUGGCAUUCAGUGCGCAAGUGAGAUGUCAGAACAUGAGGUAGGACUGAAAUUAAA
Molecule: long non-coding RNA, 608 nt
Organism: Limulus polyphemus (Atlantic horseshoe crab)
Lineage: Eukaryota; Metazoa; Arthropoda; Merostomata; Xiphosura; Limulidae
Exons: 2
Source: RefSeq, a predicted model, not a curated record